Molecule: long non-coding RNA, 300 nt
Organism: Bufo gargarizans (Asiatic toad)
Lineage: Eukaryota; Metazoa; Chordata; Amphibia; Anura; Bufonidae
Exons: 3
Source: RefSeq, a predicted model, not a curated record
GUUACUUAUAGCAAUGGAUGCACAAGCACAGAAGAGGGUGCCUUCGGGGCAGCAGUCACAUAUAUCUCAUGUGACCACCGCCAUCUUGCUUGCUUGCACAAGACAGCCACCGACAUCUGCUGUUUACAGACAACGAGGACAGCGAGGACAACUGAACUGGGGUGUUGUGGUUGUUCUGUCAAACAUAAGAAAACAGAGGCAUCGCACGUAGAUAUCUUCCGAUGGAGCUAGCAACAUGGCACUCCUCCAGUGACAUCAUCAGAGGUUACAUAUACAGUACUUCGUUAUGUUAUAAAUUGC